Polypterus senegalus (gray bichir) is the source of this 234-nucleotide long non-coding RNA. RefSeq lists it as uncharacterized. The transcript is spliced from 2 exons. NCBI's taxonomy places the organism in Eukaryota, Metazoa, Chordata, Cladistia, Polypteriformes, Polypteridae. The record is from RefSeq and is a predicted model, not a curated record.
UUCAUUAUAAGGUGAAAAUUCCUGGAACUACCCUCCCUGAUUUGACAGUGUAUUCGGAGACCGCCACCAUAAGUCAGCUGAUACCUGGCCGGAACUACACGGUGGAAGUAUCUGCUGUGGAUGGAGACAACUUCACUGAAGGCGAUGCUGCCUCUCUCACGGUUUCCACAGUGCCCGGAAACAUUUUAGGUUUGACUGCUGAAAACAUCACGACAAAGUCCUUCAGCCUAACGU